GACGAACGCUGGCGGCGUGCUUAACACAUGCAAGUCGAACGGAAAGGCCCUGCUUUUGUGGGGUGCUCGAGUGGCGAACGGGUGAGUAACACGUGAGUAACCUGCCCUUGACUUUGGGAUAACUUCAGGAAACUGGGGCUAAUACCGGAUAGGAGCUCCUGCUGCAUGGUGGGGGUUGGAAAGUUUCGGCGGUUGGGGAUGGACUCGCGGCUUAUCAGCUUGUUGGUGGGGUAGUGGCUUACCAAGGCUUUGACGGGUAGCCGGCCUGAGAGGGUGACCGGCCACAUUGGGACUGAGAUACCGCCCAGACUCCUACGGGAGGCAGCAGUGGGGAAUAUUGCACAAUGGGCGGAAGCCUGAUGCAGCAACGCCGCGUGCGAGAUGACGGCCUUCGGGUUGUAAACCGCUUUCGCCUGUGACGAAGCGUGAUUGACGGUAAUGGGUAAAGAAGCACCGGCUAAAUACGUG
This 468-nucleotide ribosomal RNA is filed under the name uncultured bacterium. RNAcentral describes it as "partial 16S ribosomal RNA". It matches the Rfam family "Bacterial small subunit ribosomal RNA", at positions 28 to 507 of the family's 1533-position model. The record is from RNAcentral.